GUUGCCUGUCAAUUUUGAACGCUGUUAAGCGUUGCUAACACGCCAUGUUUGUUGAGUAUGCGAUAUCAAAUUGAAUGUGGGCACAGCCACGGGCAGAAGAGUAUGCAUAUAUCAGGUCCCGAAACAAGGUAAUGCCAGUAAUCAACCAUUUUAGCAGCAUUACUGAAUCGCGCCAAACAAGACAGCAGCGACAAACUGGUUUAAGCCUUUCCGAGCCUUGUCGCUGUGGCUGCCAUUUAGUUGUCCGAACGUACAAAAGGUAAGAAAAAUCAAAGCCGAAACGGUAAUUAUCUUUUGACAGCACUUAAGUUGAAUUUGGUAAUGACAGUCGAGCCAACGAGCCAAAGAUCGGGCCAACGGGACGAUAAAAGCGGCGCUUUAGCCCAAAUGACAGCCGAGGUUAAAGCCCGGCCGAUUAAAUUGACAGUUUGUCAGGCCAGUAUUUUGUAUUUCGCGCUGUGUUAAAAAGCGUGUUCAAUGUGACUUGGCAUAGAGCCGAAAAAGCAGUGCUAUUUGUAACACAAAUCUGCGUGUUUCCAUAUCAUGUGACUCUUUUCCAACUAGAUAGAGACAUACAUUUGAAACCAUUAGCCUUCUAUAUCCUUUUUAAUAUAAUAAUAAAAAUAUUUUCAAAACCUA
Molecule: long non-coding RNA, 639 nt
Organism: Drosophila ananassae
Lineage: Eukaryota; Metazoa; Arthropoda; Insecta; Diptera; Drosophilidae
Exons: 2
Source: RefSeq, a predicted model, not a curated record